CUGGAGCUACACCAGCAGCUCUGGGUUCUCAGGCAUUUGAUCUCAGACUGGAACUAAACCAUUGAUUCUACUGCGUCUCCAGCUGGCUGAGUCACCUUGCAGAUCUUGGGACUUAUUCGCCUCCAUAAUCACGAAAUGAAGAAGAAUAAGCAAUCUGCCAUCAGAGAGAAGCGUCGAUUGACAAGAAUGCAAAGACACAGUAGGUGUAUGAUGUAGAAUACGUCCCUUGCCCUCUCUUGGCCUCAAUUUCUUCACAUGUGGUGGGAAGUAAUUUAAAGAAAACGGCAUAGAAUUUGACUUUAUUAUAACCGGAUGUGCACUCCCUUGAAUAAGUCCAAAGUCCGCUGGUUGAAAAAUGAUGAUCCAGUAUUUUAUAGAUUCAACAAGAAGACAAUAAUGAGGAGUAAAGAGAGAGUGACAACUGAGAUGCUACAACAUGACAUGAUUCUUUCUAAUGGUGUUCUUCUAGUCAGACAAAAGACAAGGAUUUCUGGAGAAAUGCUUUAAAGUAUUUAUAGAAAAUCAAUAUGUAUAUGAUUGUCUAGACUUGACUACUCAUGUGAAAACAGGAAUUUUAAUACAUUUUGAUUUUGUAUUAAUAAAAUCCGUAUUUCCAUGGCUAAAUAUGCUAUUUUAAAAUGUUAAAGAUAUAAAAUCAGAAAAAUAAAUUCUUUCAACACCAC
This 683-nucleotide long non-coding RNA is filed under the name Equus caballus (horse). Its description in RNAcentral is "lncRNA (ENSECAG00000049201.1)". Lineage: Eukaryota; Metazoa; Chordata; Mammalia; Perissodactyla; Equidae. The record is from RNAcentral.